RNAcentral lists this ribosomal RNA (459 nucleotides) under uncultured bacterium. RNAcentral describes it as "partial 16S ribosomal RNA". It matches the Rfam family "Bacterial small subunit ribosomal RNA", at positions 338 to 795 of the family's 1533-position model. The record is from RNAcentral.
CCUACGGUGCGCAGCAGUGAGGAAUAUUGGUCAAUGGGCGCGAGCCUGAACCAGCCAAGUAGCGUGAAGGAUGACUGCCCUACGGGUUGUAAACUUCUUUUAUAAAGGAAUAAACUGAAGCACGUAUGCCUUUUUGGAUGUACUUUAUGAAUACGGAUCGGCUAACUCCAUGCCAGCAGCCCCGGUAAUACGGAGGAGCCGAUCGUUAUCCGGAUUGAGUGGGUGUAACAGUUGCGUAGGCGACUUUUUAAGUCAGCGGUAAAAUGUCCGGGCUAAACCCGGGCCGGCAGUUGAAACUGGGGAUCUUGAGUUGGCGAGAAGUAUGCGGAAUGCGUGGUGUAGCGGUGAAAUGCAUAGAUAUCACGCAGAACUCCGAUUGCGAAGGCAGCAUACCGGCGCCCGACUGACGCUGAGGUACGAAAGCGUGGGGAUCGAACAGGAUUAGAUACCCCUGUAGUC